UUUGCCGGCGACCGGCGCACGGGUGAGUAACACGUAUCCAACCUGCCCUUUACUCGGGGAUAGCCUUUCGAAAGAAAGAUUAAUACCCGAUGGCAUAAUGAUUCCGCAUGGUUUCAUUAUUAAAGGAUUCCGGUAAAGGAUGGGGAUGCGUUCCAUUAGGUUGUUGGUGAGGUAACGGCCCACCAAGCCUUCGAUGGAUAGGGGUUCUGAGAGGAAGGUCCCCCACAUUGGAACUGAGACACGGCCCAGACUCCUACGGGAGGCAGCAUG
Molecule: ribosomal RNA, 270 nt
Filed under: uncultured bacterium
Lineage: Bacteria
Description: partial 16S ribosomal RNA
Rfam family: Bacterial small subunit ribosomal RNA
Source: RNAcentral